CUCUCUCCUUGGUGGCAGGGCAGCCUCAAUUCUCACCCCCAAUCCCAAAUCCUGGGGUGCCUGCCCAGGGGGAACAGGAGCUCUCUCUC
RNAcentral lists this long non-coding RNA (89 nucleotides) under Zonotrichia albicollis (white-throated sparrow). RNAcentral describes it as "lncRNA (ENSZALG00000002705.1)". Lineage: Eukaryota; Metazoa; Chordata; Aves; Passeriformes; Passerellidae. The record is from RNAcentral.